Molecule: ribosomal RNA, 403 nt
Filed under: uncultured bacterium
Lineage: Bacteria
Description: partial 16S ribosomal RNA
Rfam family: Bacterial small subunit ribosomal RNA
Source: RNAcentral
AUUGAACGCUGGCGGCAGGCCUAACACAUGCAAGUCGAGCGAGCGGCGGGCGGGUGGGCAAUGUAUGGGGACUGCCCGAUAGAGGGGGAUAACUACUGGAAACUGAGGCUAAUAACGCAUACUAUCGGAUAACCCAUAUGGGAUUAGCUAGUAGGUGGGGUAAAGGCUCACAUAGGCGACGAGCUAUAGCUGGUCUGAGAGGAUGAUCAGCCACACUGGGACUGAGACACGGCCCAGACUCCUACGGAGGCAGCAGUGGGGAAUAUUGCACAAGUGGCGAAAGCCUGAUGCAGCCAUGCCGCGUGUAUGAAGAAGGCCUUAGGGUUGUAAAGUACUUUCAGCGGGGAGGCGUUUCCAACAGAAGAAGCACCGGCUAACUCCGUGCCAGCAGCCGCGGUAAUAC